RNAcentral lists this ribosomal RNA (547 nucleotides) under Radulinus asprellus (slim sculpin). RNAcentral's name for it is "partial 16S large subunit ribosomal RNA". It matches the Rfam family "Bacterial large subunit ribosomal RNA", at positions 150 to 1050 of the family's 2925-position model. Lineage: Eukaryota; Metazoa; Chordata; Actinopteri; Perciformes; Cottidae. The record is from RNAcentral.
CGCCCAACAGCUAGCCCACCUAAACAAUUUCAACAAGCCCCUGUUAAUAACCCCUAAAUACCCCAGUAUUUAAAUUAAACAAACCAUUUUUCCCCCUUAGUAUAGGCGAUAGAAAAGGGACUACGGCGCAAUAGAGAAAGUACCGCAAGGGAAUGCUGAAAGAGAAGUGAAAUAACCCAGUAAAGCCUAAAAAAGCAGAGAUUUAAACUCGUACCUUUUGCAUCAUGAUUUAGCGAGUGUACCCCAAGCAAAGAGAACUUUAGUUUGACGUCCCGAAACUACGUGAGCUACUCCAAGACAGCCUAUUAAUAGGGCGUACCCGUCUCUGUGGCAAAAGAGUGGGGAGAGCUUUGAGUAGAGGUGAUAAACCUACCGAACCUAGUUAUAGCUGGUUGUCCAAGAAAUGAAUAGAAGUUCAGCCUCUUGGCUUCUCUUUUCACCCUAGUUUAACCCCUAUUGAUGCAUUAAAGAAACCGAGAGAGUUAGUCAAAGGGGGUACAGCCCCUUUGAAUCAAGACACAACUUUACCAGGAGGGUAAAGAUCAUA